ACGCUGGCGGCAUGGUUAAGACAUGCAAGUCGAACGAAAAACAUGACUUCGGUCAUGUGGAAAGUGGCGAACGGGUGCGUAACACGUGAGCAACCUGCCCUUGAGUAUGGAAUAGCCCGCCGAAAGGCGGAUUAAUGCCGUAUGUGGCCUUUCAUCGCAUGGUGAAAUGGCUAAAGCUUGUAAUGGCGCUCAAGGAUGGGCUCGCGGCCUAUCAGCUUGUUGGUGAGGUAAUAGCUCACCAAGGCAAAGACGGGUAGCUGGUCUGAGAGGAUGAUCAGCCACACCGGGACUGAGACACGGCCCGGACACCUACGGGUGGCAGCAGUUUCGAAUCAUUCACAAUGGGCGAAAGCCUGAUGGUGCAAUGCCGCGUGGAGGAUGACGGCCCUAGGGUUGUAAACUCCUGUCAUUGGGGAGCAACAAGCAGGUUCAUAACCUGCCCUGAGUUAACCCAAAGAGGAAGAGGUGGCUAACUCCGUGCCAGCAGCCGCGGUAAUACGGAGACCUCGAGCGUUACUCGGAUUUACUGGGCGUAAAGGGUGAGUAGGCGGCCAAGUAUGUCGGGUGUGAAAUCCCGGGGCUUAACCCCGGAACUGCGCCCGAAACUAUUUGGCUAGAGUCUCGGAGAGGAUAGUGGAAUUCCAGGUGUAGCGGUGAAAUGCGUAGAUAUCUGGAGGAACACCAGUGGCGAAGGCGACUGUCUGGACGAGAACUGACGCUCAAUCACGAAAGCGUGGGUAGCGAAAGGGAUUAGAUACCCCUGUAGUCCACGCCGUAAACGUUGUACAUUAAGUUUCGGAGGAUUCGACCCCUUCGGAGCUCAAGCUAACGCGUUAAAUGUACCGCCUGAGGACUACGGCCGCAAGCCUAAACCCAAAGAGAUG
This 884-nucleotide ribosomal RNA is filed under the name Verrucomicrobia bacterium SCGC AAA300-O17. RNAcentral describes it as "SSU rRNA". It matches the Rfam family "Bacterial small subunit ribosomal RNA", at positions 33 to 911 of the family's 1533-position model. Lineage: Bacteria; Pseudomonadati; Verrucomicrobiota. The record is from RNAcentral.